UUUGAUGUUAACGUUUCAUCAUAGCCUCCAGCUCCGAACACAUGUCAAAUUUCGCUUGUUUCAGGGGUUUUUUAGCUUCUACAUCUCUCUCUCCCAGUCGUAAACCGUCUUUCAGCAGUGAUCGGGGUGUCAGGUCAUUAUGAAGUAGCGGUUUCUCUACCCUGAAGAUGAUGUAGACACAAACACAAGGAAGAUGAAGGGGCGAGCGGCUGCGCUCCAUUUCUCUUCAUCGGAGGACAUCUCAAUGACGUACGACUAGAGAAGAGGGAUACAGAGGGAGGGGAGAGAGAUUGAGGUGAGCUUUGAGACGAGGAAUGACAAGGCAGAUGACAGGUACAUUUCAAGAAAAAGUGGCAAGAAGUGAGGGGGGAAACAGGGUCUGGAAAUGCCGCAAGUUGGAUUCAAGCCCAUGUAACCCACAUAAGCACCACAGCUGAGCCCACAUAGAUGAGGUGAAGCGGGUGCCACGUGAUACAUGACAUUAUUAAACAAACUCAAAGAUGGUACCCAAACACCACACUCUCAGCACACAGGGGACAGCAGCUGUCUGUUCAGGAGUGGAUGCAGAGUUGUUUGUAUGCAGGACCUGGACAAGUAAGUGUCUCAAUGUCUCCACACUCGGAAUAGAACCACUCUCAAAUAUCAAGCGGGCCGUAGGUCAGAAGCGGCUCAUGACGCUCCACUGACCUCAGCGGAGGAGAGAAACUCCUACAGCAGAGAAAAGCAGCUUUCAGGUCAGUGUGGACUCAGCACUUAAUGUUGGAUAUUCGUCAUGAUCGCUUUGUUAGGGUCUCUGGGGGUGGGGGUGGUACCAGGCAGCUCCUGGCCGUGUACAGUACCUCCAGUAUGACCUUAUCCUGAUAGCUUUUUUGUAGAAGCAUAACUGAGAGCUUGUAUUUCCUGAGAGUGCUUGUCAAUAAUAGACAACUAGCAGUUUCAGUGAACGAUCUGACAUUUAGUGCAUUAAAGAAGAAAUCCUAAUAUGCCAUCUUAAUGUAAAAAUUAUGCUUAAACCACAAAGCCUUUGAGAGGUUAUUAAGGACUUAUGUAUGUUUCAUUACAGGCUACAAGGAAAUUACAGAUUUAUGAAAGGGAAUAGUUAUUAUUUUACACAUUUAUAGCACUGGAAUCCAGACUGACAUGAAAUUUUAUGUUUGACUUAAGAGGCUGUUUGAAUGCUGAGAGGAAAGAGAGUGUUAUUUUCUAGUAAAUGUUUGCUGAAUGGUACUUUUAACACACUCUAUGACACUUUCGCCUGGAAUACUUGAUUCUGGUUCUGAUUCAACCUCAUGAGCUCAUGAGAAUAUGCAAGAAUUUUACAAAUUGGCAAUUGUGUAUGAAUUUAUUUAAUUCAUAAGCAGGCCAUACAACAACAUACAAAUGAGACUGUAUGAAUUCUUGUAAAAUUCAACAUAAUCCAAAAUAGUUAAAUUGCACUAUUUUUGUAUAAUGAUGAUGACUAAACUGGGCAAGCAACGGCAAAUACAAUACAAAAAAGAUAAAAAUUAAAUAAUUUAGCCUAAUAAACAUAAUAUCUCACUAUAUAGAAAAGAAAAA
Long non-coding RNA from Cyprinus carpio (common carp), 1557 nucleotides. The record is from Ensembl. Lineage: Eukaryota; Metazoa; Chordata; Actinopteri; Cypriniformes; Cyprinidae.